GCGGGAAGUGGCAGCUCCUCAGCUCCUGAGCAGCUUCGGCGCUUCGGUUCCCGUAGCUCAGACUAUUCGGACCCUCAGGGCAGAAUGCAGGGCGGCCAACUUGCCGCUCUGUGGAGCUGACCGCGUUCGGAGGUGCUGUUCCCAAGAGUAUGCUCCAGUAAACCACCUGCGUGCAAAUGUCUGCCUCGGAGUCUGUUUCCUGGAAAACCCAACUUAAUUCAAUAUUUUCAGAAUAUCUACAGAAAUAGAAGAAAACUUUCAAAAAAAUGAUAAGAAACAGCAGUUGAGGACUAUCAACAAUUACUGACAGAGUAAGGAAUUGGUGCCAUGUUUACGUCUAGUGGAGUUCGAUGCGUUAUUAUUUCUUUCUGUGAGGGGGUAUGGGGAGGACUUUCUCUCAACGACGUAUCGAUACUCAAAAACAGUCACUGGGAAGACAGCAGUGAAUCAGAGUAACGAAAUGCCUGCCCUUACGGCGUUCCUCAGACUUGAAUGCAAUCUUCAAACUAUUCUAUGUGAACAAACUACUAAGAAGAAGCCAAAAUGGAUGUAUUGGAGGCCAGAAGUCUGAAACCGGUUCUCACUGGGCUAAAAUCAGUGCCAGCAGGACUGCAUUCCUUCUAGAGGCUCAAACCUGAUUCCUUGCCUUGUCCAGCUUCUAGAGGCUGCCCACAUUCUUCGGCCUGUAGCCACUUUCCACCUUCAAAACCAACGUGUUCCAAACAAGCUAUGGUUCUCUUGGCAAAACAGCCCAUUAGGAGUCUCACCAGCCUCUCUCUUGGGGUUCGCAGUGACUCAGACAAGAGGGGGAAAAAAAACCCGAGGCUAGACACCUGUCCCCAGUGGAAAAAGGAAGAACACACCUGGAGAGCAGCUCAGACAAAGGGAAAAAAACAGUAAUUGGAGAGGAGACUGCUUCCAAUCUGUUGCUGGUUGUAAGGGCUUCUCCAGUGUGCUGUUUCUUAAAAAUAAGCAGCUUAAAAUAAUCCUUAUGCCAAAGAGACAUGCUUUGGGGUGACAAAGUCUGCUCCUCUACACAGCUUUGGGGAAGACAUGUUAAGAGAGCAAAAAUGGGAGUGUGGUAAAGAAAAUGAAGAGGCAAAAGGAGCGUGAGGAUAAGAUAGGAUCGGAAGUCAAGAGAGGAGAGAAUUUCUAGGAGGAAUGUGGACCCCAAGAAGAAAGAUUUAUUUGAGAAGAAAGAUUUAUUUGACGUGAACGCCGAGGAGGAAUUUAUCUGCUGAGAUGGACUCCCCAUGGUUAACUGAGUGCUCCAAUUUUAUAAAUAAUAACAGGCUAGUGGCCAUUUGUUGACCAGAAAGAGCGCCAGACUGAACUCUAGACUUCCUAGACUGAGUCAACAACUACAAAGGAGUUCCUGUUUUCGUCUUUCAACCAAAUGGACUAAGACCUGUCCCCUCUAAUCAGAACCGCUCCAUAACAACCAAUCAGGAAACAUAUUGUUGAUCAAUCAGGACUGCUAAAUUCGGACCAAUCAGAAAUGUACAAAUUUGGGUACUUCAUUUACAUAAAACAGACCUAAUUGGGAACCUGGGUGGGAAUUUUCAAAGGCAGCCUCCCCUUUGUCCUGGUGGAACACAAUGUAGGUUGCUCCUUGAAUCUGUGUCUUCAGGUCUGCAGCUCCUUUUAUUCAAAUAAAUGCUUUUUAUUCUUUAUUAGUCUAAAAUUUAAUUUUGGUUUACAUGUAGAAUCAUGAGUCUAGGGCUCCAGCCUACCAAUUUACUAGUUAUGUGACUUAGGAUAAGUUACUUAAAACAGAUCCUCCUUGGUUUCCUUAUAUGUAAAUUAAAAAUGGUGAUGAUGAUAAUACCUGCUCUAUCCCUACAAGGUUAAGAGGACCAAACAAAGUAGAAAAGAUAUAUGAAGGCAUACUGUAAACCAUAAUGAAGCAUAUAAUUCUUUAUAGAGUUGUUGUGAAGAUUAAUGUCUGAACACUUAGAACACAUAAUAAAUGAUGAAAAAUGUUGACAAUGCACAAUUGGCAUUUUAUAUUAGUCUUAGAUGAGAAACUGCCCAUCCCCUCAUGGACUGGUGAACAGAAUACGGAAUGGUCAAAUUUAAUAUCCCUUUCAGGUCCUCUUCAGUUGGAUUCCAUGUACUUCUUUAUUCCAUAAUAAUGUGAGUUUACAAAACUGAAAGAGAUUUUUAAAAUCCUAGGUAUUUGAGCUACCAUAAAGGGUCAGUGUUACUAAGUCAAUGGUAGAUAAGCUGUGGAUACUAAAUAGGCUGUAAAUAAGCUUCAUAUGAUACUUAACAUAUGAAGAAUCCACAAAAUGAACUUAUAAAUGAAAAGGGCAAAUAAAGACAGUAACUGUAAGAGACCGUAUUUUGAUGUUCUUUAAGAUGAGGCAUUGCGAUAUACUGAACAUGUUAAAGCCUUUGGAGCCACUCAGACUAGGAUUAGUAUUGACCUCCAUAGUGCACAGUUGACCUACACUGCUAAUGUAAUAAGCAUCCACGCAAUUAUUCACUUACUGAUUUGUAACUAGUCUGGCACUGUACUAGACUCAGGGAAUACAAUGUAAUGGAUAGGGACAGCAAUCCUAGUCUGACAUUCUGAAGGAGGAAAUUGCAAACUGUGAUGCAAAAGUGAUUCAAAAUAACUUUGUAUAUGAAAUAGCUGGUGCAGUGUCUUGUACCUGGUGGGUUGCUAAAUAAAUGUAGCUGUUACAUUGUUACAUUAAGUUUAUUCUACUUCUCUUCCCAUU
Long non-coding RNA from Rhinolophus ferrumequinum (greater horseshoe bat), 2726 nucleotides. RefSeq lists it as uncharacterized. The transcript is spliced from 9 exons. NCBI's taxonomy places the organism in Eukaryota, Metazoa, Chordata, Mammalia, Chiroptera, Rhinolophidae. The record is from RefSeq and is a predicted model, not a curated record.